CAUCUUGUAUGUGAUCGUUUCUGUGACUGGGGUUGUUGUCCUGUUGGCUGUUUUUCUACCGCUCCUGUACAAGUGGAAGAAAAGAAGAAGCUCUAAUCAUUUGAACAGCAGAGGCCAUGGAACCGACACAAAUAUGGAGUCUGUCAUCUAUGAGAAUUCUGCUCCAUUCUCCACAUUGGAAGAGUCUGGCUACGAAAACGUCAAUCCAUCCUCCACCUACGAGACCCUCAAUCCAACCACGAUGGCUCAUGACCAGACGUACUCCACAAUCGGACAGCAAAUAUAAUACUUGUUUUUGUAUUUGGAUAAAUCAUACCACAAAUAAAUAGUUGUGGUUUAUUUUGAGGACUUCUUCUUUCUUUAAUAUCUAAAACAUCCUUAUCUAUUGCGUGUAUCCUUUUACAUUUCAGUUUAUAUAUUUUUCAGAUUUACUUUACUUUAUUUUUUGUAUUGUUUCUGUUAUUGAUCUGUGUUAACUGGCACAUGCAUCAUUGUUUUAAUGCUAUGUUUCUAUACCUACUGCAAAUGUAUACAUGGUAGCUACUGCUGUACUAUAUAUAAACUGGGAAACUAUCUUUGAGUCUUUGUGAGUGGAUGUUAAUGUCAUUGUUUUGAUCCAGAUAUAGUUAGGUCCAUAAAUAUUUUUACACUGACACAUGUGUUGUUAUUUUACCAAACCAUAUUCAAC
Long non-coding RNA from Scomber scombrus (Atlantic mackerel), 688 nucleotides. RefSeq lists it as uncharacterized. The record is from RefSeq and is a predicted model, not a curated record. Lineage: Eukaryota; Metazoa; Chordata; Actinopteri; Scombriformes; Scombridae. The transcript has 3 exons.